Molecule: ribosomal RNA, 116 nt
Filed under: Gopherus agassizii (Agassiz's desert tortoise)
Lineage: Eukaryota; Metazoa; Chordata; Testudines; Testudinidae
Source: RNAcentral
GCCUGCAGCCAUUUAACCUCAAGCUGCAAUCCAGAAACCUUGCAGGCAAUGUGGGGAUGGGCUGGGUUAGUACUUGGAUGGGAGACCACCAAAGAAAACCCAGUCAGAAGUGGGCA